Non-coding RNA from Pelobates cultripes (western spadefoot toad), 365 nucleotides. The record is from the annotation of a GenBank genome assembly. Lineage: Eukaryota; Metazoa; Chordata; Amphibia; Anura; Pelobatidae.
GGAAGGGUCAGCAAGGAGCUGGAAGGUAAAGCAGCACAAAGGUAAAGUAGAAGGAGCAGAAAGGGUCAGAAAUGAGCUGGAAGGGGCAGAAGGAGCACAAACAUAAAGUAGGAGAAUGAGCAGGAAGGGCCUGCAAGGAGCAGGAAUGAGCACAAAGGGACAGCAAGGAGCACAAAGGUAAAGGAGCAGAAAGAAUCAGAAGGAGCACAAAGGUAAAGUAGGAGAAAGAGCAGAAAGGGACAGCAAGGAGCACAAAGGUAAAUUAGAAAAGGAAGCAGAAAGGGUCUGCAAGGAGCAGAAAGGGAUCAGAAUGAGAAAGGAGCAGAAGGGCGCAAAAUAAGCAGAAAGUAGCAGAAAGGUAAAAG